AUGGAACCUCUGCUGCUUUUCCUGGCUCUGCUCGCCGCCCCCGGCUGUGUCUUCUCUGAGGUGCAGCUGGUUGAGUCCGGACCCGGCGCGGUGAAGCCCGGAGAGACCCUCACGCUGAGCUGCACCAUCAGCGGUUACUCCGUCACUAAUAGCUACUGGGACUGGGUCCGGCAGGCUCCGGGGAAAGGGCUGGAAUGGGUGGGACAGAUCGACUGGAGCGGCUCCAGCUGGCGGACAUACUACAGCCCGGCUGUCCAAAGCCGCGCAACGCUCAGCGCUGAUAAGUCCAAGAACCAGUUCUCCCUGCAGCUCCGUUCGCUGACAGCUGCAGACACCGCCACCUAUUAUUGCGCCAGAGGAAGACACAGCGACACAGCGCAACGCAGGGUCCGUACAAAAAGGGGAAGAGGAUUCCGAGCAGCGAGUUCCCAUUUCGGCAGUGCGGGCUGCACAGAUCAAUGCGAAUGGAAA
This is a non-coding RNA of Pelodiscus sinensis (Chinese soft-shelled turtle), 471 nucleotides long. NCBI's taxonomy places the organism in Eukaryota, Metazoa, Chordata, Testudines, Trionychidae. The record is from the annotation of a RefSeq genome assembly.